This 275-nucleotide long non-coding RNA is filed under the name Bos taurus (domestic cattle). RNAcentral's name for it is "long non-coding RNA NONBTAT014050". Lineage: Eukaryota; Metazoa; Chordata; Mammalia; Artiodactyla; Bovidae. The record is from RNAcentral.
CACUUCAAAACUGUGGGUCCUUAAUACGUAUAUUGUCCUUAGAAAUUCAACGCUGAGAGAAGUGUAGAACUAGAGCUCCCAUCUCUGACAUCCUCCUCUCUUCCAAAAAAAUCAUAAGUAAAAAUCACCCAUCAUUCCACCCUACAUAGAUAGCUGCUGAUCAGAUUUGCAUAAUAAUUAUUUGUGUAUAUAUUUGAGUGAAAUGGCAUACAUUAUACAUAAUGUUUUAUAGUAUUUUUAUGUAAUAGUAUAUCUGUCAGUCUUUAUAGUGUGGG